AACGUAGGGGACGAGCGUUGUCCGGAUUUAUUGGGCGUAAAGAGCGCGCAGGCGGCUUCGCAAGUCGGGUGUGAAAAUCCGGGGCUCAACCCCGGACCUGCAUUCGAUACUGCGUGGCUAGAGGCAGGCAGGGGAGAUCGGAAUUCCUGGUGUAGCGGUGAAAUGCGCAGAUAUCGGGAGGAACACCAGUGGCGAAGGCGGCGACCUGGGCCAAUAUUGACGCUGAGGUGCGAAAGCGUGGGGAGCAAACAGG
This 253-nucleotide ribosomal RNA is filed under the name uncultured bacterium. RNAcentral describes it as "partial 16S ribosomal RNA". It matches the Rfam family "Bacterial small subunit ribosomal RNA", at positions 524 to 776 of the family's 1533-position model. The record is from RNAcentral.